Molecule: small RNA, 28 nt
Filed under: Bombyx mori (domestic silkworm)
Lineage: Eukaryota; Metazoa; Arthropoda; Insecta; Lepidoptera; Bombycidae
Description: ovarian small RNA-27434
Source: RNAcentral
UCCCUUGCAUCGUGAUGACUUUCUUCAA